RNAcentral lists this transfer RNA (72 nucleotides) under Mycobacterium sp. RNAcentral describes it as "tRNA-Gln". It matches the Rfam family "tRNA". From Rfam's summary of the family: Transfer RNA (tRNA) molecules are approximately 80 nucleotides in length. Their secondary structure includes four short double-helical elements and three loops (D, anti-codon, and T loops). Further hydrogen bonds mediate the characteristic L-shaped molecular structure. tRNAs have two regions of fundamental functional importance: the anti-codon, which is responsible for specific mRNA codon recognition, and the 3' end, to which the tRNAs corresponding amino acid is attached (by aminoacyl-tRNA synthetases). tRNAs cope with the degeneracy of the genetic code in two manners: having more than one tRNA (with a specific anti-codon) for a particular amino acid; and 'wobble' base-pairing, i.e. permitting non-standard base-pairing at the 3rd anti-codon position. RNAcentral also lists the same sequence under 1 other name. The record is from RNAcentral. Lineage: Bacteria; Bacillati; Actinomycetota; Actinomycetes; Mycobacteriales; Mycobacteriaceae.
UCCGUCGUAGUGUAAUUGGCAGCACCUCUGUUUUUGGUACAGAUAGUUCAGGUUCGAGUCCUGGCGACGGAG